AUAAAAGCUUAGAUAAAGAGGAGUAGGGGAAAAUUAGUAUUAAGAGAGAAAGAUCCAUAGGCUGUAAGAUCUUUUAUAUGAAAAACCUUGAAGGUUGCUUUGGAGCUUCUUAGCCACAUUCAUGUAUUAUGAAUAGAGGGUAUAAGGCGGUUUUCUUAAUCGUUAAAUUAUAAAGAGCCUGCAUUUUGCAGGAAAAAAGGUGGUACCGCGGAGCUUUUCGUCCUUUUA
Molecule: non-coding RNA, 228 nt
Filed under: Clostridium estertheticum
Lineage: Bacteria; Bacillati; Bacillota; Clostridia; Eubacteriales; Clostridiaceae
Description: T-box sequence
Rfam family: T-box leader
About the family: Uncharged tRNA acts as the effector for transcription antitermination of genes in the T-box leader family. T-boxes are found upstream of many aminoacyl-tRNA synthetase genes and some amino acid biosynthetic genes usually in Gram-positive bacteria.
Source: RNAcentral